AUUUAAGUAGUUUAAUAAGAAUUUUAAUUUGUGGUAUUAAAGGUAAAUUUUUUUCUUAAAUC
RNAcentral lists this transfer RNA (62 nucleotides) under Metasalis populi. RNAcentral describes it as "tRNA-His". The record is from RNAcentral. Lineage: Eukaryota; Metazoa; Arthropoda; Insecta; Hemiptera; Tingidae.